GAUGAACGCUGCGGCCUGCCUAAUACCUUCCAAUCGAGCGAACAGAUGAGGAGCUUGCUCCUCUGACGUUAGCGGCGGCCGGGUGAGUAACACGGGGAUAACCUACCUAUAAGACUGGGAUAACUUCGGGAAACCGGAGCUAAUACCGGUUAAUGUAUUUAACCGCUUGGGUCAAUAGUGAAAGACGGGUGUGCUGUCACUUAUAGAUCGAUCCUCGCCGCAUUAGCUAGUUGGUAAGGUAACGGCUUACCAAGGCAACGAUGCGUAGCCCACCUGAGUGGGUGAUAGGCCACACUGGAGCGGGGACACGGUCCAGGGGACUACGGGAGGGACCAGUAGGGAAUGGUCCGCAAUGGGGGAAAGCCUGACGGAGCGACGCCGCGUCAGUUAUGAAGGUCUUCGGAUCGUAAAACUCUGUUAUUAGGGAAGAACCAAUGUGUACGUAACUAUGGAGGUAUUGACGGUAACUAAUAAGAAAGCCCCGGCUAACUACGUG
This 496-nucleotide ribosomal RNA is filed under the name uncultured bacterium. RNAcentral's name for it is "partial 16S ribosomal RNA". It matches the Rfam family "Bacterial small subunit ribosomal RNA", at positions 28 to 507 of the family's 1533-position model. The record is from RNAcentral.